AUUGAACGCUGGCGGCAUGCCUUACACAUGCAAGUCGAACGGCAGCACGGGAGCUUGCUCCUGGUGGCGAGUGGCGAACGGGUGAGUAAUGCAUCGGAACGUGCCCUGAAGUGGGGGAUAACGUAGCGAAAGUUACGCUAAUACCGCAUAUUCUGUGAGCAGGAAAGCAGGGGAUCUUCGGACCUUGCGCUUUUGGAGCGGCCGAUGUCGGAUUAGCUAGUUGGUGGGUAAAGGCCCACCAAGGCGACGAUCCGUAGCGGGUCUGAGAGGAUGAUCCGCCACACUGGAACUGAGACACGGUCCAGACUCCUACGGGAGGCAGCAGUGGGGAAUUUUGGACAAUGGGCGCAAGCCUGAUCCAGCCAUGCCGCGUGAGUGAAGAAGGCCUCGGUGUAAG
This 397-nucleotide ribosomal RNA is filed under the name uncultured bacterium. RNAcentral's name for it is "bacterial SSU rRNA". It matches the Rfam family "Bacterial small subunit ribosomal RNA", at positions 30 to 429 of the family's 1533-position model. The record is from RNAcentral.